Molecule: ribosomal RNA, 468 nt
Filed under: uncultured bacterium
Lineage: Bacteria
Description: partial 16S ribosomal RNA
Rfam family: Bacterial small subunit ribosomal RNA
Source: RNAcentral
GACGAACGCUGGCGGCGUGCUUAACACAUGCAAGUCGAACGGAAAGGCCCUGCUUUUGUUGGUUGCUCGAGUGGCGAACGGGUGAGUAACACGUGAGUAACCUUCCCUUGACUUUGGGAUAACUUCAGGAAACUGGGGCUAAUACCGGAUAGGAGCUCCUGCCGCAUGGUGUGGGUUGGAAAGUUUCGGCGGUUGGGGAUGGACUCGCGGCUUAUCAGCUUGUUGGUGGGGUAGUGGCUUACCAAGGCUUUGACGGGUAGCCGGCCUGAGAGGGUGACCGGCCACAUUGGGACUGAGAUACGGCCCAGACUCCUACGGGAGGCAGCAGUGGGGAAUAUUGCACAAUGGGCGGAAGCCUGAUGCAGCAACGCCGCGUGCGGGAUGACGGCCUUCGGGUUGUAAACCGCUUUCGCCUGUGACGAAGCGUGAGUGACGGUAAUGGGUAAAGAAGCACCGGCUAACUACGUG